RNAcentral lists this ribosomal RNA (781 nucleotides) under bacterium enrichment culture clone BD34. Its description in RNAcentral is "bacterial SSU rRNA". It matches the Rfam family "Bacterial small subunit ribosomal RNA", at positions 73 to 871 of the family's 1533-position model. The record is from RNAcentral.
AUUGUAGCAAUACGGUCUCAGUGGCGAACGGGUGAGUAACGCGUUGGUGACCUGCCCCGAAGUGUGGAAUAACAGAUCGAAAGAGCUGCUAAUACCGCAUAAUAUCCAGAAGAUUAGACGCUUUUGGAUUAAAGGAUUUAUUCGCUUCGGGAGGGGCCUGCGUCCCAUCAGCUAGUUGGUAAGGUAAUGGCUUACCAAGGCUAUGACGGGUAGGGGACCUGAGAGGGUGGCCCCCCACAAUGGAACUGAAACACGGUCCAUACACCUACGGGUGGCAGCAGUAGGGAAUAUUAGUAAUGGGCGAAAGCCUGAACUAGCAACGCCGCGUGUGCGAAGAAGGCCUUCGGGUUGUAAAGCACUUUUAGAGAGGAUGAGGAAGGACGGUACUCUCAGAAUAAGUCUCGGCUAACUACGUGCCAGCAGCCGCGGUAACACGUAGGAGGCGAACGUUAUCCGGAUUUACUGGGCGUAAAGCGCGUGUAGGUGGUUUGGUAAGUAGGGCGUGAAAGCUCCCGGCUCAACUGGGAGAGGCCGUUCUAAACUGCCAAGCUAGAGGAUGGUAGAGGGAGGUGGAAUUCCGGGUGUAGCGGUGGAAUGCGCAGAUAUCCGGAGGAACACCAGUGGCGAAGGCGGCCUCCUGGGCCACUCCUGACACUCAGACGCGAAAGCUAGGGUAGCAAACGGGAUUAGAGACCCCGGUAGUCCUAGCCCUAAACGAUGUAGACUUGGCGUCGGUGGUUUAAACGCCAUCGGUGUCGCAGCUAACGCGAUAAGUCUACCG